RNAcentral lists this ribosomal RNA (253 nucleotides) under uncultured bacterium. RNAcentral's name for it is "partial 16S ribosomal RNA". It matches the Rfam family "Bacterial small subunit ribosomal RNA", at positions 524 to 776 of the family's 1533-position model. The record is from RNAcentral.
UACGUAGGCAGCGAGCGUUGUUCGGAAUUACUGGGCGUAAAGAGUGUGUAGGCGGUGUUCCCAGUCUGUUGUGAAAUCUCCCGGCUUAACUGGGAGGGUGCAGCGGAAACUAGAAUGCUAGAGGGUGGGAGAGGUAAGCGGAAUUCCGAGUGUAGAGGUGAAAUUCGUAGAUAUUCGGAAGAACACCAGUGGCGAAGGCGACUUACUGGACACAUAUUGACGCUGAGGUGCGAAAGCGUGGGGAGCAAACAGG